Molecule: ribosomal RNA, 440 nt
Filed under: uncultured bacterium
Lineage: Bacteria
Description: partial 16S ribosomal RNA
Rfam family: Bacterial small subunit ribosomal RNA
Source: RNAcentral
CCUACGGGUGGCAGCAGUGGGGAAUAUUGCACAAUGGGGGGAACCCUGAUGCAGCGACGCCGCGUGAGUGAAGAAGUAUUUCGGUAUGUAAAGCUCUAUCAGCAGGGAAGAAAUUGACGGUACCUGACUAAGAAGCCCCGGCUAACUACGUGCCAGCAGCCGCGGUAAUACGUAGGGGGCAAGCGUUAUCCGGAUUUACUGGGUGGAAAGGGAGCGUAGACGGCAGUGCAAGUCUGAAGUGAAAGCCCCGGGCUUAACGGCGGGAUUGCUUUGGAAACUGUCCGGCUAGAGUGCUGGAGAGGUAAGCGGAAGUCCUAGUGUAGCGGUGAAAUGCGUAGAUAUUAGGAGGAACACCAGUGGCGAAGGCGGCUUACUGGACAGUAACUGACGUUGAGGCUCGAAAGCGUGGGGAGCAAACAGGAUUAGAUACCCUUGUAGUC